CAACGCGAAGAACCUUACCAAGGCUUGACAUACACCGGUAACGCCCAGAGAUGGUGCCCCUUUGUGGUCGGUGGACAGGUGGUGCAUGGUUGUCGUCAGCUCGUGUCGUGAGAUGUUGGGUUAAGUCCCGCAACGAGCGCAACCCUCGUCCUAUGUUGCCAGCGGGUCAUGCCGGGGACUCAUGGGAGACUGCCGGGGUCAACUCGGAGGAAGGUGGGGAUGACGUCAAAUCAUCAUGCCCCUUAUGUCUUGGGCUUCACGCAUGCUACAAUGGCCGGUACAAAGGGCUGCGAUACCGCGAGGUGGAGCGAAUCCCAGAAAGCCGGUCUCAGUUCGGAUUGGGGUCUGCAACUCGACCCCAUGAAGUCGGAGUCGCUAGUAAUCGCAGAUCAGCAACGCUGCGGUGAAUACGUUCCCGGGCCUU
RNAcentral lists this ribosomal RNA (424 nucleotides) under uncultured Cellulomonas sp. Its description in RNAcentral is "bacterial SSU rRNA". It matches the Rfam family "Bacterial small subunit ribosomal RNA", at positions 957 to 1382 of the family's 1533-position model. Lineage: Bacteria; Bacillati; Actinomycetota; Actinomycetes; Micrococcales; Cellulomonadaceae. The record is from RNAcentral.